Molecule: ribosomal RNA, 1519 nt
Filed under: Loigolactobacillus coryniformis subsp. torquens DSM 20004 = KCTC 3535
Lineage: Bacteria; Bacillati; Bacillota; Bacilli; Lactobacillales; Lactobacillaceae
Description: Lactobacillus coryniformis subsp. torquens DSM 20004 = KCTC 3535 16S ribosomal RNA
Rfam family: Bacterial small subunit ribosomal RNA
Source: RNAcentral
AGAGUUUGAUUAUGGCUCAGGACGAACGCUGGCGGCGUGCCUAAUACAUGCAAGUCGAACGCACUGACGUCGACCGAAGCUGCUUGCAGUGGACGUUGAUUGACGUGAGUGGCGGACGGGUGAGUAACACGUGGGUAACCUACCCUUAAGUGGGGGAUAACAUUUGGAAACAGAUGCUAAUACCGCAUAACCAUUCAGACCACAUGGUCUGAAUGUAAAAGACGGCCUUUGGCUGUCACUUUUGGACGGACCCGCGGCGUAUUAGUUAGUUGGUAAGGUAACGGCUUACCAAGACAAUGAUACGUAGCCGACCUGAGAGGGUAAUCGGCCACAUUGGGACUGAGACACGGCCCAAACUCCUACGGGAGGCAGCAGUAGGGAAUCUUCCACAAUGGACGAAAGUCUGAUGGAGCAACGCCGCGUGAGUGAAGAAGGUUUUAGGAUCGUAAAACUCUGUUGUUGGAGAAGAACAGGGACUAGAGUAACUGUUAGUCCUUUGACGGUAUCCAACCAGAAAGCCACGGCUAACUACGUGCCAGCAGCCGCGGUAAUACGUAGGUGGCAAAGCGUUGUCCGGAUUUAUUGGGCGUAAAGCGAGCGCAGGCGGUUUUUUAAGUCUGAUGUGAAAGCCUUCGGCUUAACCGAAGAAGUGCAUUAGAAACUGGGAAACUUGAGUGCAGAAGAGGACAGUGGAACUCCAUGUGUAGCGGUGAAAUGCGUAGAUAUAUGGAAGAACACCAGUGGCGAAGGCGGCUGUCUGGUCUGUAACUGACGCUGAGGCUCGAAAGUAUGGGGAGCGAACAGGAUUAGAUACCCUGGUAGUCCAUACCGUAAACGAUGAAUGCUAAGUGUUGGAGGGUUUCCGCCCUUCAGUGCUGCAGCUAACGCAUUAAGCAUUCCGCCUGGGGAGUACGACCGCAAGGUUGAAACUCAAAGGAAUUGACGGGGGCCCGCACAAGCGGUGGAGCAUGUGGUUUAAUUCGAAGCAACGCGAAGAACCUUACCAGGUCUUGACAUCCUUUGACCACUGUAGAGAUACAGCUUUCCCUUCGGGGACAAAGUGACAGGUGGUGCAUGGUUGUCGUCAGCUCGUGUCGUGAGAUGUUGGGUUAAGUCCCGCAACGAGCGCAACCCUUAUGACUAGUUGCCAGCAUUUAGUUGGGCACUCUAGUAAGACUGCCGGUGACAAACCGGAGGAAGGUGGGGAUGACGUCAAAUCAGCAUGCCCCUUAUGACCUGGGCUACACACGUGCUACAAUGGUCGGUACAACGAGUUGCGAACCCGCGAGGGUAAGCUAAUCUCUUAAAGCCGAUCUCAGUUCGGAUUGUAGGCUGCAACUCGCCUACAUGAAGCCGGAAUCGCUAGUAAUCGCGGAUCAGCACGCCGCGGUGAAUACGUUCCCGGGCCUUGUACACACCGCCCGUCACACCAUGAGAGUUUGUAACACCCGAAGUCGGUGGGGUAACCCUUUUAGGGAACUAGCCGCCUAAGGUGGGACAGAUGAGUGGGGUGAAGUCG